This 576-nucleotide ribosomal RNA is filed under the name uncultured bacterium. RNAcentral's name for it is "bacterial SSU rRNA". It matches the Rfam family "Bacterial small subunit ribosomal RNA", at positions 102 to 674 of the family's 1533-position model. The record is from RNAcentral.
ACGGGUGAGUAAUACAUCGGAACGUAUCCUGGAGUGGGGGAUAGCCCGGCGAAAGCCGGGUUAAUACCGCAUACGCUCUGAGGAGGAAAGCGGGGGACCUUCGGGCCUCGCGCUCAAGGGGCGGCCGAUGGCGGAUUAGGUAGUUGGUGGGGUAAAGGCCUACCAAGCCGACGAUCCGUAGCUGGUCUGAGAGGACGACCAGCCACACUGGGACUGAGACACGGCCCAGACUCCUACGGGAGGCAGCAGUGGGGAAUUUUGGACAAUGGGGGCAACCCUGAUCCAGCAAUGCCGCGUGUGUGAAGAAGGCCUUCGGGUUGUAAAGCACUUUUGUCCGGAAAGAAAUCAUCGGGGCCAAUACCCCUGGUGGAUGACGGUACCGGAAGAAUAAGCACCGGCUAACUACGUGCCAGCAGCCGCGGUAAUACGUAGGGUGCGAGCGUUAAUCGGAAUUACUGGGCGUAAAGCGUGCGCAGGCGGUGCUGUAAGACCGAUGUGAAAUCCCCGGGCUUAACCUGGGAACUGCAUUGGUGACUGCAGCGCUGGAGUAUGGCAGAGGGGGGUGGAAUUCCACGU